GAUGAACGCUGGCGGCGUGCCUAAUACAUGCAAGUCGAGCGAACAGACGAGGAGCUUGCUCCUCUGACGUUAGCGGCGGACGGGUGAGUAACACGUGGAUAACCUACCUAUAAGACUGGGAUAACUUCGGGAAACCGGAGCUAAUACCGGAUAAUAUAUUUAACCGCAUGGUUCAAUAGUGAAAGACGGCUUUGCUGUCACUUAUAGAUGGAUCUGCGCCGCAUUAGCUAGUUGGUAAGGUAACGGGUUACCAAGGCAACGAUGCGUAGCCGACCUGAGAGGGUGAGCGGCCACACGGGAACGGAGACACGGUCCAGACUCCUACGGGAGGCAGCAGUAGGGAAUCUUCCGCGAUGGGCGAAAGCUUGACGGAGCAACGCCGCGUGAGUGAUGAAGGUCUGCGGAUCGGAAAACUCUGUUAUUAGGGAAGAACAAAUGUGUAAGUAACUAUGCACGUCUUGACGGUACCUAAUCAGAAAGCCACGGCUAACUACGUG
Molecule: ribosomal RNA, 497 nt
Filed under: uncultured bacterium
Lineage: Bacteria
Description: partial 16S ribosomal RNA
Rfam family: Bacterial small subunit ribosomal RNA
Source: RNAcentral